Molecule: ribosomal RNA, 254 nt
Filed under: uncultured bacterium
Lineage: Bacteria
Description: partial 16S ribosomal RNA
Rfam family: Bacterial small subunit ribosomal RNA
Source: RNAcentral
UACGGGGGGAGCAAGCGUUGUUCGGAUUUACUGGGCGUAAAGGGCGCGUAGGCGGCCACCGCAAGUCAAUUGUGAAAUCUCCGGGCUCAACCCGGAAAGGUCAACUGAUACUGCGGGGCUAGAGUGCAGAAGGGGCAACUGGAAUUCUCGGUGUAGCGGUGAAAUGCGUAGAUAUCGGGAGGAACACCAGUGGCGAAGGCGACUACCUGGCCUGUUCUUGACGCUGAGGCGCGAAAGCUAGGGGAGCAAACGGG